UUGGGGACAGAAAAAAUUUCCUUAGGCACAGUGUCACAUUUCCACUAAGGGCUAAGGCUUCAGGCUCAGGGCAGGAGCCUACGUGCCAAUGAUACUCCACCCACUCCAGGUCACUGGGGAAGUGCCAGGCAGGCCUCCAGCCAAGCUAUGCCGGGAGUCACUGCUUCCCGAAAACUCCACUCCCCUCAGCUCAGGCUUUCUCUGCCCCUGGAGAAAAGCAAAGACCUCUCUCUUCAUCCUGGAGAAAAGCAAAGGCCUCAUCUGACUCUGAGGGCAUUUUGAGAAGGACAGAGGAGGCUACAGCCCCUCCUGCAUGGGGAAAGAAGAGUGGGAGCCUCUUGUGGCCACCUCUCCCCGCGCACACCCUCUUGACCGCAUGCCCAAGGCCCCAGGACCAACGUCUGGAGCUUCUCAUCUGUGAAUCGGGGAUGACAACUGCACCCCGCCCCCCGCCACCGCAGUACCGCAGGCUUCCCACAAGACAACACAGGCACGGUGCGUGGCGUGGGGCAGCACACCUCCCAUCGGCUCCGUGAAUAAAGGUUACUUUCCUUGUUACUAGCUUGAAAUUCACUUUUUUUAAAGCAAAUACUUCACUAGAACCACGACUCUGGGACUGUAGCCCCGCUUACCUGGGCAAGCCCCCGAGGUCCAUCUCACUGCAGAUGUAGCGGCCUGGACGCAGAAUCACCCACAGCCCGAUCUCUGCGGCCAUCAGGACGAAGGCCCUAGGGAGGUCCACAUCGUCAGCCCCUCCCACGACGGCCCAGGAUGAGGCCGGGUGGGGGCCACACGCAUCACAGGGUGGAGGAGCUGCCUGGUGGGGCGAAGGGACGGCUCGGCCCCACCCCCAAAGCGUGGGGACUCCCACACCAGGUCGGUGGCCUGAGCUGCUCCCAGCCUCAGAGCCUCUGCACAGCCCCAUCGGGGGCCUGAGGAGGAAGGGUGACACCCAGGGCUCAGUGGUCUCAACAGUGAACCUGACCCCAUAGCCUUGCUAGCCUAGAGGGGCCGCCCUGCCCCAGCCCAGGCGCCAGACCCCAUGCAGAGUCGGGCGGCUCCCAGGGUCUUCUGCCCCUCUGGGCUGCAGUGGAGAGGUGGGGCCCGGAGGCUGCAGGCCCAGUCCCUCUGGGUGACAGGUCACGGUUGGGGAGCGUCUGGGUCCUGGGUGCAGGGCCUCUCACAGUCCUAGAACAGGACUCCAGACCCACGUCCCUCCCUGGUUCUCUUUGGUUGCUAAUCCACCCCCAGUAGCCACCUCUGUGCCCUGCCCCUGACCAGGGCACAGAAGCAGCAACACCACAUACUCCAGGUCCAGGUUCCCAGAGAAGUCAAAUUUGCCUCUUUCUGGCUCAUGCAGGUUCCACGGAA
RNAcentral lists this long non-coding RNA (1371 nucleotides) under Homo sapiens (human). Its description in RNAcentral is "HSALNT0183817". Lineage: Eukaryota; Metazoa; Chordata; Mammalia; Primates; Hominidae. The record is from RNAcentral.